This 94-nucleotide transfer RNA is filed under the name Candidatus Omnitrophota bacterium. RNAcentral describes it as "tRNA-Ser". It matches the Rfam family "tRNA". Rfam says of the family: Transfer RNA (tRNA) molecules are approximately 80 nucleotides in length. Their secondary structure includes four short double-helical elements and three loops (D, anti-codon, and T loops). Further hydrogen bonds mediate the characteristic L-shaped molecular structure. tRNAs have two regions of fundamental functional importance: the anti-codon, which is responsible for specific mRNA codon recognition, and the 3' end, to which the tRNAs corresponding amino acid is attached (by aminoacyl-tRNA synthetases). tRNAs cope with the degeneracy of the genetic code in two manners: having more than one tRNA (with a specific anti-codon) for a particular amino acid; and 'wobble' base-pairing, i.e. permitting non-standard base-pairing at the 3rd anti-codon position. Lineage: Bacteria; Pseudomonadati; Candidatus Omnitrophota. The record is from RNAcentral.
GGAGAGGUCGCAUAGCCCGGUUUAGUGCGGCGGUUUGCUAAAUCGCUGUACGGGGAAACCCGUACCCAGGGUUCAAAUCCCUGCCUCUCCGCCA